RNAcentral lists this ribosomal RNA (253 nucleotides) under uncultured bacterium. RNAcentral describes it as "partial 16S ribosomal RNA". It matches the Rfam family "Bacterial small subunit ribosomal RNA", at positions 524 to 776 of the family's 1533-position model. The record is from RNAcentral.
UACGUAGGGUCCGAGCGUUGUCCGGAAUUAUUGGGCGUAAAGGGCUCGUAGGCGGUUUGUCGCGUCGGGAGUGAAAACGCCGGGCUUAACCCGGUGCUUGCUUUCGAUACGAGCAAACUAGAGUGUUGCAGGGGAGACUGGAAUUCCUGGUGUAGCGGUGAAAUGCGCAGAUAUCAGGAGGAACACCGGUGGCGAAGGCGGGUCUCUGGGCCGAUACUGACGCUGAGGAGCGAAAGCGUGGGGAGCGAACAGG